Molecule: ribosomal RNA, 245 nt
Filed under: uncultured bacterium
Lineage: Bacteria
Description: partial 16S ribosomal RNA
Rfam family: Bacterial small subunit ribosomal RNA
Source: RNAcentral
UACGGAGGGUGCAAACGUUGCUCGGAAUUAUUGGGCGUAAAGCGCACGUAGGUGGCCCGUUGUGUCCGGUGUGAAAGCCCUCGGCUUAACCGAGGAAGUGCAUCGGAAACUGGCAGGCUUGAGUACGGAAGAGGGUCGCGGAAUUCCCGGUGUAGAGGUGAAAUUCGUAGAUAUCGGGAGGAACACCAGUGGCGAAGGCGGCGACCUGGGCCGAUACUGACGCUGAGGUGCGAAAGCGUGGGGAG